UGGACUGACGAAACUCAACGGUUGGUGGGGACUAUCAGCAACAUACUAAGACAGUCAUCGACAGAGCGUCGUACCGUGUGGGUGAAAGACUGCAGUCUCAGCGAGAUCUUACAACCGUCGUGUUCGGAACAUCAACUUUGCUUGUAUACAUCAGGAACGUGGAAGCCAACGCUCCUGACAGUCUAACGCCAACUUGGCCUCGUCUCAACAGGACGAUCGUAUCGACGAAUUUGCCAUGAAAAAACUACCAAAAGCAAAAGCAAGGGAAGAAAAAUUCCUUCCCGCAAGGAUGAUCACACGACAGACGAUGAAGCAGCGUCGGGACGAGCAAUAUAAUACGUGAACGGGACAGGAUUUCCGGGCACGUGCGGUGAUUUAGAAUAAACGCAAUAAAGCAACCCGCUGGCUGCCGGCAAGGGAAGAGAGAGGGCAAAUUCAUGCGAGACAUACGUAUUAUAAUAUCACGCAUAAAGUUUCUUUACCCCGUUGCAACUUUAUGACUUCAUAGGAGCCACGGGGCUGGAAUACCGGCGACACUAUAGCGGGACACGCGAUAAAGGAAACAGGAUUGCCCGAUCGAUAACCAAUAUCCAUGGAAACUGGAUCCACCUCGUGACCGGGCUGCUCGUCUCACUCCUUUUGCCAGCCACACAUCCUUUCGCGAUCGUUGCGAUUCGUGCCACGGCGUAUGCUAUUAUUACGCGUGUACAGGUUCGAGUUGGCUGAGAUUUGGCCCUGCGGGAUCUCCAGCGAACUCGAUCGAUCGCCACGCAAGAUCUUGCGAACCGCUCUAAUUGGUAUCUCGUGAUUUUACGUUCGGUUGGAUCGCGAUAAGAGAAAAAUUCGAUCGUGAUUUAUGACGACCCCUGGAGGGACUUUUGCACGUUGAACGUGCAGCGCGUUUGUGAUUAAAGUUGACAGGAACCUGCUAUUGUCAUUUACAGUUGUAAAAUGUCCGAUGGUAGAUAAACACAUCUAAAUAUAUUGUAUUAAUAAUAUAUGAUAAAACUUUUUAACAAACGAUUUUGUUGCACUAUGGAACCUAAAGAGACUCUUGAACGUGUUCAGGUUGACCGAUGGAGGAACGAGUGGAUGAAUUUGUAAUAGAAAAAUAUAUUGAAAUAAGUACAGGUAUAAGUAUAACCUGUAUAGAUGUUAGCCUUGGACUGGGUCUUUGAUUAAGGGAUAUGAAUAUACAGAUCCCACAAAGUUUCACUAUUAUAUGUAUUAUUAUACUAACUAUUAUAUACAUUUUCUUUCUCUUUUUUAUGUAUUGUUGAGGUUGACUGAUAGAGGAACGAGUGGACGAAUUUGUAAUAGAAAAAUAUAUUGAAAUAAGUAAAGGUAUAAGUAUAGUGCGUGCUGAUCCAGAUCUUCAUUCUUACAACGUCACAAUACAAUAGAAGAAGCUAUGAUAGCGAGCAGGUUUAUAUAUUUAUAGCAAAGGACAUUACCAAAAAGUUGACAUUGUGGCACCAGCUGAAGGCUACAAGAAACAGCAAUAGAAAUCUACUCGUAGCUCUUUUCUUUCCAGACCUUGUAACCCAAAACGUAAUUUAUAUUCAAAGGCACGAUAAUAUGGACCUCUGCUUAUUUGGAAUAUUUUUUUGUUUCACUAAAUUCUAUUCUCUUCGUAACAGCGGUGUGCAGGUCACGGAUAUACAAAAGUAAAGAUGUAGAGUCUUUCUUCAAGUAAUUACUUCAACAAGAACGCUCGAUAAAAUUGUUGUUAAGCCACGUGGAUUUCCAGAGGCCGCUAUUCCUAACCGUCGCUCGUGGCAUCGCAGUAUCGCGAGCGAACCGUCUCAAGUAGCUCAACACAUACAAUGUAGCGACCAGCAUCAAACAGGGAGUUCGAAAAACGUCGAUUCGUUUCGUUAUUUCAAACACUCAUAAGGUGACACGCGUGAUCAUGGCGUGAUCAGUGGCGUGAUCGGUGGCGUAACCCGAGCAUGGUGGGGAUCGUCCCCCAUGAACCACAAAGGGCCCAUCGAAGGGCAAUCAGUAUCGAUCGAGAAUCCAAACCAAAAACACUAACGUCUUCGACGAAUUACAAGUCGUCCUAAUACAAAAUACAUUGUAAAGUCGAGUCGAAUCGUUACACCAAAUUAACUGUAUUAUCUGUCAAAUAAUUUGUGGCGCAUCACUAUCCUGUUGUUUAUAUAUAUAUAUAUUGUCAAAUAUAUAAUUUUUGUUGACUCUGUUAA
Molecule: long non-coding RNA, 2207 nt
Organism: Bombus pyrosoma
Lineage: Eukaryota; Metazoa; Arthropoda; Insecta; Hymenoptera; Apidae
Exons: 2
Source: RefSeq, a predicted model, not a curated record